CGAAAGCCUGACGGAGCAAUACCGCGUGAGGGAGGAAGGUUCUUGGAUUGUAAACCUCUUUUCUCAGGGAAGAAAAAAAUGACGGUACCUGAGGAAUAAGCAUCGGCUAACUCCGUGCCAGCAGCCGCGGUAAGACGGAGGAUGCAAGCGUUAUCCGGAAUUAUUGGGCGUAAAGGGUCCGCAGGUGGCUAUUCAAGUCUGCUUUCAAAGAGUGGAGCUCAACUCCAUAGAGGGAGUGGAAACUGAGUAGCUAGAGUAAGGAAGGGGUAAGAGGAAUUCCCAGUGUAGCGGUGAAAUGCGUAGAUAUUGGGAAGAACACCAGCAGCGAAGGCGUCUUACUGGUCCUUAACUGACACUGAUGGACGAAAGCUAGGGGAGCG
This 380-nucleotide ribosomal RNA is filed under the name uncultured cyanobacterium. RNAcentral's name for it is "bacterial SSU rRNA". It matches the Rfam family "Bacterial small subunit ribosomal RNA", at positions 376 to 770 of the family's 1533-position model. The record is from RNAcentral. Lineage: Bacteria; Bacillati; Cyanobacteriota.